UUCUAGGAUAUCCUAGGACCUUGAGGGUUUUGAAAUUUUUCUCAGGUUUUCAAAGAGUCUCCUGUUAGAAAUGUAAGGAGUCAGGCAAGAGAGGAGCUAAGAAUGAGAGCUGAAAAGAAGCUGUAGAUUUAGAGAAGCGGCAGAACAAAGAGAUAACAGCAGAGAGAGCAGAGGCAGAGUUGAAGCUUACUUAGAACAACAAAGUGAUGGACUGAAAGAGCAUGAUGUGCCAUGAAUGAACUUGAAGACAUCAUACCAAGGCCAAACAAGGUUCAUGCUGCAGUAACAGAGGAUGUAUGUUCAUUUAAUGCCUGCUGUGCAGCAGUAUCCUGGGCAAAGACCAUGUGGGCAGUAGGCUAUAAACACUGCUGAACCUUCUCAAUUUCUAAUGAAAAACAGAAAGAAAGUGGAUCCAGACAGGAGUAGAAUGGGGAGAAAAUGGGAAGAGUAGAGGAAGAAAAAGAAACAUAAUCAAGAUAUAUUAUGUGAGAUAAAAAAAUCAAUUUUCAAUAAAAGGAAAAGAGAAAAAGAAAUCCAAAGUAGGAUACUCUGCACCCUUUCAAGAUCUGAGGACAA
Molecule: long non-coding RNA, 576 nt
Organism: Peromyscus eremicus (cactus mouse)
Lineage: Eukaryota; Metazoa; Chordata; Mammalia; Rodentia; Cricetidae
Exons: 3
Source: RefSeq, a predicted model, not a curated record